RNAcentral lists this ribosomal RNA (468 nucleotides) under uncultured bacterium. Its description in RNAcentral is "partial 16S ribosomal RNA". It matches the Rfam family "Bacterial small subunit ribosomal RNA", at positions 28 to 507 of the family's 1533-position model. The record is from RNAcentral.
GACGAACGCUGGCGGCGUGCUUAACACAUGCAAGUCGAACGGAAAGGCCCUGCUUUUGUGGGGUGCUCGAGUGGCGAACGGGUGAGUAACACGUGAGUAACCUGCCCUUGACUUUGGGAUAACUUCAGGAAACUGGGGCUAAUACCGGAUAGGAGCUCCAGCUGCAUGGUGGGGGUUGGAAAGUUUCGGCGGUGGGGGAUGGACUCGCGGCUUAUCAGCUGGUUGGUGGGGUAGUGGCUUACCAAGGCUUUGACGGGUAGCCGGCCUGAGAGGGUGACCGGCCACAUUGGGACUGAGAUACGGCCCAGACUCCUACGGGAGGCAGCAGUGGGGAAUAUUGCAGAAUGGGCGGAAGCCUGAUGCAGCAACGCCGCGUGCGGGAUGACGGCCUUCGGGUUGUAAACCGCUUUCGCCUGUGACGAAGCGUGAGUGACGGUAAUGGGUAAAGAAGCACCGGCUAACUACGUG